This 496-nucleotide ribosomal RNA is filed under the name uncultured bacterium. Its description in RNAcentral is "partial 16S ribosomal RNA". It matches the Rfam family "Bacterial small subunit ribosomal RNA", at positions 28 to 506 of the family's 1533-position model. The record is from RNAcentral.
GAUGAACGCUGGCGGCGUGCCUAAUACAUGCAAGUCGAGCGAACAGACGAGGAUCUUGCUCCUCUGACGUUACCGGCGGACGGGUGAUUAACACGUGGAUAACCGACCUAUAAGACUGGGAUAACUUCGGGAAACCGGAGCUAACACCCGUUAAUAUAUUGAACGUCAUGGUUCAAUAGUGAAAGACGGUUUUGCUGUCACUUAUUGAUGGAUCCGCGCCGCUUUAGUAAAUUGGUACGGUAACGGCUUACCAAGGCAACUAUGCGUAGCCGACCUGGGAGGUGAAUCGGCCAACCUGAAACUGAGAAACGGUCCAGAUUCCAAGGGGAGGCAGAAGUGGGAAUUCUUCCGCAAUGGGCGAAGGCUGAACGAGGCAACGCGGCGUGAGGAAGAAAGGUCUUCGAUUCGUAAACCUCUGUUGUUGGGAAAGAACAAAGGUGUAAGUAACCAUGCACGUCUGGACGGUACCUAAGCAGAAAGCCACGCCUAACUACGU